GUCGGAACUCUUCAGUUCCUCACAAACCACCAAACAACACAGACAUGUGGCGCAAGUGUAUACUGUUGUUCUGUAUACUGGGCUAUACUGUCUCUGGAGCUGAUUCCAGACAUUCUCAUCAAACCAGAUCUGUAAGGCCGCGACGAGAUUUCCCUCGAGCUGGUCGCCAGGUCGACGGGAAUGGAAUCGACUUUUCUAACGCUGUCUUCGACGAGCAAAC
Long non-coding RNA from Eurytemora carolleeae, 220 nucleotides. RefSeq lists it as uncharacterized. Lineage: Eukaryota; Metazoa; Arthropoda; Copepoda; Calanoida; Temoridae. The transcript is spliced from 3 exons. The record is from RefSeq and is a predicted model, not a curated record.